CUGACAUGGAUACUCCCAAGAGGUCAUUCUCCUUGGACUCUGUCUAGGUGGUAUGGAGGAGCUCAGGGUUCUGCCCCAUGUUGUACAGGCCUUUUCCACAACGUUGGAGAUCAAGCCAGACCUUGAGUCUGUGCCUGCGCCUUCUACAGCUUCUCAGAUUUCUGUGAGCAAUGACUGUGAGCAAAGAGACACAGCACGCGGGAAAGAGUC
Molecule: small nucleolar RNA, 210 nt
Filed under: Echinops telfairi (small Madagascar hedgehog)
Lineage: Eukaryota; Metazoa; Chordata; Mammalia; Afrosoricida; Tenrecidae
Description: Small nucleolar RNA SNORA73 family (ENSETEG00000022656.1)
Rfam family: Small nucleolar RNA SNORA73 family
About the family: U17 (SNORA73A and SNORA73B) also known as E1 belongs to the H/ACA class of small nucleolar RNAs (snoRNAs). Vertebrate U17 is intron-encoded and ranges in length from 200-230 nucleotides, longer than most snoRNAs.
Source: RNAcentral